RNAcentral lists this ribosomal RNA (497 nucleotides) under uncultured bacterium. RNAcentral describes it as "partial 16S ribosomal RNA". It matches the Rfam family "Bacterial small subunit ribosomal RNA", at positions 28 to 507 of the family's 1533-position model. The record is from RNAcentral.
GAUGAACGCUGGCGGCGUGCCUAAUACAUGCAAGUCGAGCGAACAGAUGAGGAGCUUGCUCCUCUGACGUUAGCGGCGGACGGGUGAGUAACACGUGGAUAACCUACCUAUAAGACUGGGAUAACUUCGGGAAACCGGAGCUAAUACCGGAUAAUAUAUUGAACCGCAUGGUUCAAUAGUGAAAGACGGUGUUGCUGUCACUUAUAGAUGGAUCCGCGCCGCAUUAGCUAGUUGGUAAGGUAACGGCUUACCAAGGCAACGAUGCGUAGCCGACCUGAGAGAGUGAUCGGCCACACUGGAACUGAGACACGGUCCAGACUCCUACGGGAGGCAGCAGUAGGGAAUCUGCCGCAAUGGGCGAAAGCCUGACGGAGCAACGCCGCGUGAGUGAUGAAGGUCUUCGGAUCGUAAAACUCUGUUAUUAGGGAAGAACAAAUGUGUAAGUAACUAUGCACGUCUUGACGGUACCUAAUCAGAAAGCCACGGCUAACUACGUG